This 460-nucleotide ribosomal RNA is filed under the name uncultured bacterium. RNAcentral's name for it is "partial 16S ribosomal RNA". It matches the Rfam family "Bacterial small subunit ribosomal RNA", at positions 338 to 795 of the family's 1533-position model. The record is from RNAcentral.
CCUACGGGUGGCAGCAGUGAGGAAUAUUGGUCAAUGGACGAGAGUCUGAACCAGCCAAGUAGCGUGAAGGAUGACUGCCCUAUGGGUUGUAAACUUCUUUUAUAAAGGAAUAAAACGAGGCACGUGUGCCUUUUUGCAUGUACUUUAUGAAUAAGGAUCGGCUAACUCCGUGCCAGCAGCCGCGGUAAUACGGAGGAUCCGAGCGUUAUCCGGAUUUAUUGGGUUUAAAGGGAGCGUAGAUGGGUUGUUAAGUCAGUUGUGAAAGUUUGCGGCUCAACCGUAAAAUUGCAAUUGAAACUGGCAGUCGUGAGUACAGUUGAGGUAGGCGGAAUUCGUGGUGUAGCGGUGAAAUGCUUAGAUAUCACGAAGAACCCCGAUUGCGAAGGCAGCUUACUAAACUGUGACUGACAUUGAUGCUCGAAAGUGUGGGUAUCAAACAGGAUUAGAUACCCGAGUAGUC